Molecule: ribosomal RNA, 497 nt
Filed under: uncultured bacterium
Lineage: Bacteria
Description: partial 16S ribosomal RNA
Rfam family: Bacterial small subunit ribosomal RNA
Source: RNAcentral
GAUGAACGCUGGCGGCGUGCCUAAACCAUGAAAGUCGUGCGAACAGAUCUGGAGCUUGCCCCUCUGACGGUUGCGGCCGUCGGGAGAGUAAAACGUGGUCCUCCUACCUCUAAGACUGGGAUAACUUAGGGUUAGCGGCGCCACUACCCGAAAAUAUCUAGAACCUCAUUGUUCAAUAGUGAAAGACGGGUUUGCUGUUACUUACAGCUGUAUCCGCGCCGCGUUGGCUAGUCGGCAACGAACCGGCCUAACAAGGCCACGAUGCGUAGCCGACCUGAGAGGGUGAUCGGCCACACUGGAAGUGAGACACGGUCCAGACUCCUAAGGGAGGCAGCAGUAGGGAAUCGUACGCAAUGGGCGAAAGCCUGACGGAGCAACGCCGCGUGAGUGAUGAAGGUCUUCAGAUCGUAAAAAUCUGUUAUUAGGGAAGAACAAAUGUGUAAGUAACUAUGCACGUCUUGACGGUACCUAAUCAGAAAGCCACGGCUAACUACGUG